CAAAACUGAAAUCUGAGGUACGACAGAGGAACUGUUGAUUUGGAUAUAUGACCUAAGGGCACAGUUUUAUUAUAACCAUUGUAAUCAUACCAAAAGAUAGGUUUAAUUUUUUAAGGAAUAUGUUUCCAAGUAAUUAUACUUAACCAGAUGCCAAAUGAAAGUUCUUCAUUUUAGGGUGCCAUUUAACCCAAUGAUGUAAAAUCAAACACAUUAUUUUAUUACUGUUUCAAAGAAGAUUUGUUUGUAUUCUCCCAAUUUAUGCGAUUUAAAUGGUUUGGAGACUUAUUUCUGUUCUGUAAUCUCUUUCCUUGUCCUGCAGGCCAUCUGUAGGAAAGGUUAUCAUUAACAUGAGCAAGCCAACUCAUGUGUGUACAUGUACAUCCUUUUCUCCUCAUGAUGCACUGGAAGCAAGGAUGGAUUUGGAGGACAAUGGACUGGUUCUUUCUCCACCCACUGUUAAAAAUGAGAGGACAUUUUCAAUUUUCUAACCUAAAUAUCUUGGAGGACUUCAAAAGGAAAUGGAUUUUGAGCUUAAAUUCAAGUGAUAAAGAAACCAAAAACAUUUCUAAUGGUAAGCUACUUUGGACACAUUUCAGGUCCCUCCCAUUUUAUUUCCAAUCUGCUGAACCUACUUGUAUUACUUCAUUCCCGAAGAGGAAGAUAUACAGUGAUGGUGAUGCUUAAAUCAAACAACUGAUGCAGCAACAUUAAUAUUUUUAAUUAUACCACUAAUUGCUAAGAAGAGUUGGAAGCAUUUGUAUCAGUCAUUGUAUUGUCAUAUCUGUCCAUUGUGGUUAUGGAAUCUAGAGUCAUUUAAUUCAGUUAGGAGAAA
This 832-nucleotide long non-coding RNA is filed under the name Anser brachyrhynchus (Pink-footed goose). RNAcentral describes it as "lncRNA (ENSABRG00000014689.1)". Lineage: Eukaryota; Metazoa; Chordata; Aves; Anseriformes; Anatidae. The record is from RNAcentral.